Molecule: small nuclear RNA, 141 nt
Filed under: Xenopus laevis (African clawed frog)
Lineage: Eukaryota; Metazoa; Chordata; Amphibia; Anura; Pipidae
Description: U2 spliceosomal RNA
Rfam family: U2 spliceosomal RNA
About the family: U2 is a small nuclear RNA (snRNA) component of the spliceosome (involved in pre-mRNA splicing). Complementary binding between U2 snRNA (in an area lying towards the 5' end but 3' to hairpin I) and the branchpoint sequence (BPS) of the intron results the bulging out of an unpaired adenosine, on the BPS, which initiates a nucleophilic attack at the intronic 5' splice site, thus starting the first of two transesterification reactions that mediate splicing.
Source: Rfam by way of RNAcentral
AUUGCUUCUCGGCCUUUUGGCUAAGAUCAAGUGUAGUACUGGGCCUUUUGGCUAGGUACAAAAACACUUGGUCCUCUGGCUGGCAAGAUCAAGGGGUAGUAUCUGUUCUUAUGAUCUUAUGUGAAGAACGGAGAAACACUU